This 491-nucleotide ribosomal RNA is filed under the name uncultured bacterium. RNAcentral's name for it is "partial 16S ribosomal RNA". It matches the Rfam family "Bacterial small subunit ribosomal RNA", at positions 29 to 507 of the family's 1533-position model. The record is from RNAcentral.
AGUGAACGCUGGCGGUAGGCCUAACACAUGCAAGUCGAACGGCAGCACAGUAAGAGCUUGCUCUUACGGGUGGCGAGUGGCGGACGGGUGAGGAAUACAUCGGAAUCUACUUUUUCGUGGGGGAUAACGUAGGGAAACUUACGCUAAUACCGCAUACGACCUACGGGUGAAAGCAGGGGAUCUUCGGACCUUGCGCGAUUGAAUGAGCCGAUGUCGGAUUAGCUAGUUGGCGGGGUAAAGGCCACCAAGGCGACGAUCCGUAGCUGGUCUGAGAGGAUGAUCAGCCACACUGGAACUGAGACACGGUCCAGACUCCUACGGGAGGCAGCAGUGGGGAAUAUUGGACAAUGGGCGCAAGCCUGAUCCAGCCAUACCGCGUGGGUGAAGAAGGCCUUCGGGUUGUAAAGCCCUUUUGUUGGGAAAGAAAAGCAGCAGGUUAAUACCCCGCUGUUCUGACGGUACCCAAAGAAUAAGCACCGGCUAACCUCGUG